ACUAGACAUGCCAAUAGGAGUCUUCAACUUCGCAAUGUUCUUCGAGUUUCAUCUGUGACAUGUAAUCUUUUUUCAGUUCCUAAACUCACUCGUGAUAAUAAUGUGCUUUGUGAAUUUCACCCUUUUGAUAUUUUUAUUAAGGAUCGGGGCACGAGGGACAUUCUUCUUAGUGGGCGGCUCUGCCAAGGUCUCUAUCGUCUGGAGCAUCCUGGCGUCGCUCGCGUCUUCAGUGGAGUUCUGGUAUCUCCGUCACAGUGGCAUGCUCGUCUUGGUCAUCCGGCCACACCUAUUGUCCGGUAUGUUUUGCGUCGUCAUGAGCUUCCUAGUGUGUCUAGUAAUAAAGAUGUAGCAGUGUGUGAUGCUUGUCAGUAG
This 372-nucleotide ribosomal RNA is filed under the name Triticum aestivum (bread wheat). Its description in RNAcentral is "partial small subunit ribosomal RNA". The record is from RNAcentral. Lineage: Eukaryota; Viridiplantae; Streptophyta; Magnoliopsida; Poales; Poaceae.